Molecule: RNA transcript, 1255 nt
Organism: Musa acuminata AAA Group (dessert banana)
Lineage: Eukaryota; Viridiplantae; Streptophyta; Magnoliopsida; Zingiberales; Musaceae
Exons: 6
Source: RefSeq, a predicted model, not a curated record
CACGAUAUCAAACUUUUGGUCUCGCCCUCUCCGUUUCGCAGCUCCUCGAUCCAUCUCGAUCGUCUGCUAAAACCCUAGGGAAGAAUUAGGGAACAGCGCCCCGGUUUGUCUCGGCCCGAUCGUCCCGAAUCUUCGAUCGGUGCUGGUUUUACUGUAUUGAUAUAGAACAUGAGCACCCUUGGACCAUCAAGGCAGGGUUCAAAGAGGCACGCGAGGGAUGGUAUCCACGCUAAGAUGGUUCCGAAUUUGGAUCUGAACUUUCCUCCGGUGGAGUGCCAGCAGUGUGAUGGCACUUCUGGCUCUAGACAUCCACAGAUUUCUCGAGGAACAUCUUUUUCCGCUGUUCCUCAUCCCAGCCCUGCUAGUGAACAGCAGCAAGGGUCCUCUGCACCAUCAAGUGACCGUUCACACAGUGAUUUUAUUGAUCUAGAAUUGAUGGAGGAUGAGGUCGUGACUCUUUCUUCCUCGAGAGGGCUACCCCUGGGGAGGAAUCACUUCAGAAGGAACCAGCCUGUGACAAUGAUCCUAGAGGAAGACCUGGAAACAAAUUUGAGACAACCAGUCAUUAUUGUAGAGGAACAAGUGGCAAAAUCACCUAUGAACACUCGUAAUAAGCGGGCUAGAAGUUCGAUGAGCAGGACAGCUAUUGAUUGUGAUCAUUAUCCUGAUUUGGAAGAGGAGCAUAAUGCCAAGAAUCUUCUCAUGGUAAUAUGAAUCUUGAGAAGCUCCAUUGUUGGAAUAUCAUGUGACAGUUGAUUAAUUGAAGGACUGGAAACUCUAUCAGCAUCAUUUUGGGUGGUUGGUGUUUCUGAUCAAUAUAUUGCAUGGUUGAAGGAAUUUGGUGCAGCAGUAUCAUAGACCAUGUUGAACGAUAAGAGUAGCAUGUUAGAAAGGAGAAAGAAUGUGAUUAAAUCCAAACCGGAGCCUGUUAAGGUACUUACACGGGAACCCAUCUUCACCUGCCCUGUCUGCAUGGAUGUAUUGGUUGAGCCAGCAUCAACUAUUUGUGGUCAUAUUUUCUGUCUAAAAUGCAUAAAAGCCUCCGUUCAGGCACAGAAGAAAUGCCCAACUUGUAGGAGGCAACUUACCAUGAAAAGUUUUCAUCGUGUGUAUUUUCCAUCAUCCAAGUAGUGCAAGUUCAGGUGUAGUUUUCUUGUGCUGCAAGAGCAUCCUACUAAUCCCAUUUAUGUGUUCCUGAAUUCUUACUUGAUGGUUUUACAUGUUUGAUUAUUAGAUCAUGUCCAAUUAAGUUCAA